This is a long non-coding RNA of Pyrus x bretschneideri (Chinese white pear), 563 nucleotides long. RefSeq lists it as uncharacterized. The transcript is spliced from 3 exons. NCBI's taxonomy places the organism in Eukaryota, Viridiplantae, Streptophyta, Magnoliopsida, Rosales, Rosaceae. The record is from RefSeq and is a predicted model, not a curated record.
AAUGUAUGUACCGAAUUAUAUGUGUGACAUCCCGUCCCGAGAUUAUAAAAACGUAUGUGUGAAUUUACCUUUUUACCCAUAGUUCGUUACAUUUACGUUUAGUGUUGUUUGUGUGGUGUGGCAUGUGUUGGACCACACACACACACUCACACACACUGUCUCUCACUCUCCCGUGUUUUCCUCUCCCUCUGUCUCUUUUCUGUCACUUUUCUCUCUCUCUCUCCCGAGCUCCAUUCAUUCUUCUUCCUUCUGAAAACGUACGGACAACACACACAUCACCCAAACCUUGAUGGAUCGAAGGAACCAAGGGCAUUUUUGGACUCGUGAACCUCGUACGAGUGCAACCAUACCAUUUUCAGCUUGUAGAUGUCUUAGUGAGGUCCCAAGGAGCCUCGGAAUACUUCGUUGGAGAAGUUUGGACGUCGGGAUUAUUGUGGUCAAAGUUGGCCGGAGCUUUCGAGGCUUUUUCCGGCGAAUCCACGGCGAUUUAGGGGUCGAGGCAGAAAUUCCGGCAAAACACCCACCUCCGGCGAAACCAGUCCGGCGACGCGAGGAAGAAGACG